This 562-nucleotide ribosomal RNA is filed under the name uncultured Sporobolomyces. RNAcentral's name for it is "eukaryotic LSU rRNA". It matches the Rfam family "Eukaryotic large subunit ribosomal RNA", at positions 81 to 657 of the family's 3401-position model. The record is from RNAcentral. Lineage: Eukaryota; Fungi; Basidiomycota.
UAGUAGCGGCGAGCGAAGCGGGAAAAGCUCAAAUUUGUAAUCUGGCGCCUUCGGCGUCCGAGUUGUAAUCUCGAGAAAUGUUUUCCGUGUUAGACCGCAUACAAGUCUCUUGGAACAGAGCGUCAUAGUGGUGAGAACCCAGUACACGAUGCGGAUGCCUAAUACUUUGUGAUACAUUUUCGAAGAGUCGAGUUGUUUGGGAAUGCAGCUCAAAUUGGGUGGUAAAUUCCAUCUAAAGCUAAAUAUUGGCGAGAGACCGAUAGCGAACAAGUACCGUGAGGGAAAGAUGAAAAGCACUUUGGAAAGAGAGUUAACAGUACGUGAAAUUGUUGGAAGGGAAACACAUGCAGUCAGACUUGCUAUUCGGGGCAACUCGAUUGGCAGGCCCGCAUCAGUUUUUCGGGGCGGAAAAGCAUAGAGAGAAGGUAGCAGUUUCGGCUGUGUUAUAGCUCUUUAUUGGAUUCGCCCUGGGGGACUGAGGAACGCAGCGUGCUUUUAGCAUGAGCUUCGGCUUAUCCACGCUUAGGAUGCGGGUGUAAUGGCUGUAUAUGACCCGUCUUGA